GAACGCGAAAGUUUCCUUCGGGGAGCGAGUAGAGUGGCGCACGGGUGAGUAACACGUAGGUAAUCUACCUUUGGAUUGGGAAUAACACCGAGAAAUCGGUGCUAAUACCGAAUAAUGCAGCGGCACCUAAUGGUGACAGUUGUUAAAGCGGGGGAUCGCAAGACCUCGCGUCUAAAGAGGAGCCUGCGGCGGAUUAGCUAGUUGGUAAGGUAACGGCUUACCAAGGCGAUGAUCCGUAGCCGGCCUGAGAGGGCGGUCGGCCACACUGACACUGACAUACGGGUCAGACUCCUACGGGAGGCAGCAGUCGGGAAUUUUGGGCAAUGGGCGAAAGCCUGACCCAGCAACGCCGCGUGAAGGAUGAAAUCCCUCGGGAUGUAAACUUCGCAAGAACGGGAAGAAUAAGUCGGUGCUAACACCAUCGACGAUGACGGUACCGUUUGUAAGCUCCGGCUAACUCCGUGCCAGCAGCCGCGGUAAUACGGGGGGAGCAAGCGUUGUUCGGAUUUACUGGGCGUAGAGGGCGCGUAGGCGGCCACCGCAAGUCGACUGUGAAAUCUCCGGGCUUAACUCGGAAAGGUCAGCCGAUACUGCGGGGCUAGAGUGCAGAAGGGGCAACUGGAAUUCUCGGUGUAGCGGUGAAAUGCGUAGAUUUCGAGAGGAACACCUGCGGCGAAGGCGGGUUGCUGGGCUGACACUGACGCUGAUUGUGCGAAAGCUAGGGGAGCGAACGGGAUUAGAUACCCCGGUAGUCCUAGCCUUAAACGAUGAAUGCUUGGUGUCUGGGGUUUUAUAGUCCCGGGUGCCGUCGCUGACGC
This 818-nucleotide ribosomal RNA is filed under the name uncultured bacterium. Its description in RNAcentral is "bacterial SSU rRNA". It matches the Rfam family "Bacterial small subunit ribosomal RNA", at positions 64 to 858 of the family's 1533-position model. The record is from RNAcentral.